AACGCACCUUGCGCUCCUUGGUAUUCCUCGGAGCAUGCCUGUUUGAGUAUCAUGAAAUCUUCAAAGCAAAUCCUUUUGUUAAUUCAAUUGGUUCUGCUUUGGUAUUGGAGGUCUUUGCAGCUUCACACCCUGCUCCUCUUCGUUCAUUAGCUGGAUCUCAGUGUUAUGCUUGGUUCCACUCGGCGUGAUAAGUUAUCUAUCGCUGAGGACACUGUAACAAGUGGCCAAGGUAAAUGCAGAUGAACCGCUUCCAACAGUCCAUUGACUUGGACAAUAUUUUUAUGAUCUGAUCUCAAAUCAGGUAGGACUACCCGCUGAACUUAA
RNAcentral lists this unclassified non-coding RNA (324 nucleotides) under uncultured fungus. RNAcentral's name for it is "sequence contains ITS2". Lineage: Eukaryota; Fungi. The record is from RNAcentral.